RNAcentral lists this ribosomal RNA (253 nucleotides) under uncultured bacterium. RNAcentral describes it as "partial 16S ribosomal RNA". It matches the Rfam family "Bacterial small subunit ribosomal RNA", at positions 524 to 776 of the family's 1533-position model. The record is from RNAcentral.
UACGUAGGAGGCAAGCGUUAUCCGGAUUUACUGGGUGUAAAGGGAGCGUAGACGGCGAUGCAAGUCUGAAGUGAAAGGCGGGGGCCCAACCCCCGGACUGCUUUGGAAACUGUAUGGCUGGAGUGCAGGAGAGGUAAGUGGAAUUCCUAGUGUAGCGGUGAAAUGCGUAGAUAUUAGGAGGAACACCAGUGGCGAAGGCGGCUUACUGGACUGUAACUGACGUUGAGGCUCGAAAGCGUGGGGAGCAAACAGG